This 73-nucleotide transfer RNA is filed under the name Alticola strelzovi (Flat-headed vole). RNAcentral describes it as "tRNA-Val". Lineage: Eukaryota; Metazoa; Chordata; Mammalia; Rodentia; Cricetidae. The record is from RNAcentral.
CAUGAUGUAGCUUAAACACAUAUAAAGCAUCUGGCCUACACCCAGAAGACUUCAAAACAAAUGAACAUCAUGA